Molecule: ribosomal RNA, 800 nt
Filed under: uncultured bacterium
Lineage: Bacteria
Description: bacterial SSU rRNA
Rfam family: Bacterial small subunit ribosomal RNA
Source: RNAcentral
ACACAUGCAAGUCGAACGGAGAUUACAGGCGGAAGUUUUCGGAUGGAAGCUUGUAAACUUAGUGGCGGACGGGUGAGUAACACGUGAGCAACCUGCCUAUCAGAGGGGGAUAACGAUUGGAAACGAUCGCUAAUACCGCAUGACAUAGCGGAAUCGCAUGGUUCUGUUAUCAAAGAUUUUAUCGCUGAUAGAUGGGCUCGCGUCCGAUUAGAUAGUUGGUGGGGUAACGGCCUACCAAGUCGACGAUCGGUAGCCGGACUGAGAGGUCGAACGGCCACAUUGGGACUGAGACACGGCCCAGACUCCUACGGGAGGCAGCAGUGGGGGAUAUUGCACAAUGGGGGAAACCCUGAUGCAGCGACGCCGCGUGAGGGAAGACGGUCCUCUGGAUUGUAAACCUCUGUCUUCGGGGACGAAACGAGACGGUACCCGAGGAGGAAGCCACGGCUAACUACGUGCCAGCAGCCGCGGUAAUACGUAGGUGGCAAGCGUUGUCCGGAAUUACUGGGUGUAAAGGGAGCGUAGGCGGGCAGGCAAGUCAGGCGUGAAAUAUAUCGGCUCAACCGGUAACGGCGCUUGAAACUGCAGGUCUUGAGUGAAGUAGAGGUUGGCGGAAUUCCUAGUGUAGCGGUGAAAUGCGUAGAUAUUAGGAGGAACACCAGUGGCGAAGGCGGCCAACUGGGCUUUUACUGACGCUGAGGCUCGAAAGUGUGGGGAGCAAACAGGAUUAGAUACCCUGGUAGUCCACACCGUAAACGAUGAUUACUAGGUGUGGGGGGACUGACCCCUUCCGUGCCGGA